This 365-nucleotide ribosomal RNA is filed under the name uncultured soil bacterium. RNAcentral describes it as "bacterial SSU rRNA". It matches the Rfam family "Bacterial small subunit ribosomal RNA", at positions 26 to 377 of the family's 1533-position model. The record is from RNAcentral.
AGAGUGAACGCUGGCGGCAGGCCUAACACAUGCAAGUCGAGCGGCAGCACAGUCGUAGCAAUACGAUGGGUGGCGAGCGGCGGACGGGUGAGGAAUGCAUCGGAAUCUACCUUGUUGUGGGGGAUAACGUAGGGAAACUUACGCUAAUACCGCAUAAGACCGAGAGGUGAAAGGCGGGGGACCUGCAAGGGCCUCGCGCGACAAGAUGAGCCGAUGCCGGAUUAGCUAGUUGGUGGGUAAAGGCCCACCAAGGCGACGAUCCGUAGCUGGUCUGAGAGGAUGAUCAGGGGGCCACACUAGGAACUAGAGACACGGUCCAGACUCCGUACGGAGGCAGCAGGUGGGAAUAGUUGGACAAGUGGGCG